CCUAUGGGAGGCAGCAGUUUUCGAAUCGUUCACAAUGGGGGCAACCCUGAUGGCGCGACGCCGCGUGGGGGAUGAAGGUCUUCGGAUUGUAAACUCCUGUCAUUGGGGACUAACGGCCAGGCUCAUACCCUGGUUUGAAUUAACCCAAAGAGGAAGCAGUGGCUAACUCUGUGCCAGCAGCCGCGGUAAUACAGAGACUGCAAGCGUUACUCGGAUUCACUGGGCGUAAAGGGAGCGCAGGCGGAUUAGUGUGUCAGGCGUGAAAUCCCGGGGCUCAACCCCGGUACCGCGCCCGAAACUACUAAUCUAGAGACUUGGAGGGGUAAGCGGAAUUCUUGGUGGAGCAGUGAAAUGCGUAGAUAUCAAGAGGAACACCAACGGCGAAGGCAGCUUACUGGACAAGAUCUGACGCUCAGGCUCGAAAGCGUGGGGAGCAAAAGGGAUUAGAUACCCCUGUAGUCCACGCUGUAAACGGUGCGCAUUAGGUCUUGGAGCUUUCGAACGCUCCAGGGCUCAGCUAACGCAUAAUGCGCCGCCUGAGGCUACGGCCGCAGGCAAACGUCAAAUGAAUUGACGGCNGAGAGNGCGAGACGACGACGAGGGAGAGG
Molecule: ribosomal RNA, 608 nt
Filed under: uncultured bacterium
Lineage: Bacteria
Description: bacterial SSU rRNA
Rfam family: Bacterial small subunit ribosomal RNA
Source: RNAcentral